UUACCCAGGGUCCCACAGCUUGUGAAUGGUGGAGCUGGGAUUCACACACACAGCCAAUCUUGACCAUUUGCUGCUUUGGUGAGCAGGGCCAGCUGCCCCCACCCUCACUCCCUUCCCACCCACAGGACAGCGGGGGGUGGACGCCCAUCAUCUGGGCUGCAGAGCACAAGCACAUCGAAGUGAUCCGCAUGCUACUGACGCGGGGCGCCGACGUCACCCUCACUGACAACGAGGAGAACAUCUGCCUGCACUGGGCCUCCUUCACGGGCAGCGCCGCCAUCGCCGAAGUUCUUCUGAAUGCGCGCUGCGAUCUCCAUGCUGUCAACUACCACGGGGACACCCCCCUGCACAUCGCAGCUCGGGAGAGCUACCAUGACUGCGUGCUGUGAGCCCCUGCCCCACCCUUGAUGCCCCUGCCCCCACUUCUUGCAGCCUCAGACCCCACAUUUUGGGCAUCCUGUCCCCUCUUCAGGUUAUUCCUGUCACGUGGAGCCAACCCUGAGCUGCGGAACAAGGAGGGGGACACAGCAUGGGACCUGACUCCCGAGCGCUCCGACGUGUGGUUUGCGCUUCAACUCAACCGCAAGCUCCGACUCGGGGUGGGAAAUCGGGCCAUCCGCACAGAGAAGAUCAUCUGCCGGGACGUGGCUCGGGGCUAUGAGAACGUGCCCAUUCCCUGUGUCAAUGGUGUGGAUGGGGAGCCCUGCCCCGAGGAUUACAAGUACAUCUCGGAGAACUGCGAGACGUCCACCAUGAACAUCGACCGCAACAUCACCCACCUGCAGCACUGCACGUGUGUGGACGACUGCUCCAGCUCCAACUGCCUGUGCGGCCAGCUCAGCAUCCGGUGCUGGUAUGACAAGGAUGGGCGAUUGCUCCAGGAAUUUAACAAGAUUGAGCCCCCACUGAUUUUCGAGUGUAACCAGGCAUGCUCAUGCUGGAGAAACUGCAAGAACCGGGUCGUACAGAGUGGCAUCAAGGUGCGGCUACAGCUCUACCGAACAGCCAAGAUGGGCUGGGGGGUCCGCGCCCUGCAGACCAUCCCACAGGGGACCUUCAUUUGCGAGUAUGUUGGGGAGCUGAUCUCUGAUGCUGAGGCUGAUGUGAGAGAGGAUGAUUCUUACCUCUUCGACUUGGACAACAAGGAUGGAGAAGUGUACUGCAUUGAUGCCCGUUACUAUGGCAACAUCAGCCGCUUCAUCAACCACCUGUGUGACCCCAACAUCAUUCCCGUCCGGGUCUUCAUGCUGCACCAAGACCUGCGAUUUCCACGCAUCGCCUUCUUCAGUUCCCGAGACAUCCGGACUGGGGAGGAGCUAGGGUUUGACUAUGGCGACCGCUUCUGGGACAUCAAAAGCAAGUAUUUCACCUGCCAGUGUGGCUCUGAGAAGUGCAAGCACUCAGCCGAAGCCAUUGCCCUGGAGCAGAGCCGUCUGGCCCGCCUGGACCCACACCCUGAGCUGCUGCCUGAGCUCGGCUCCCUGCCCCCUGUCAACACAUGAGAACGGACCACACCCUCCCUCCCCAGCAUGGAUGGCUACAGCUCAGCCACCUCCUCUGCCACCAGCUGCUCGCAGCCCAUGCCUGGGGGUGCUGCCAUCUUCUCUCCCCACCACCCUUUCACACAUUCCUGACCAGAGAUCCCAGCCAGGCCCUGGAGGUCUGACAGCCCCUCCCUCCCAGAGCUGGUUCCUCCCUGGGAGGGCAACUUCAGGGCUGGUCACUCCCCUGUUCCCCAUCCUCAGUUGAAGUUUGAUGAAUUGAAGUCGGGCCUCUAUGCCAACUGGUUCCUUUUGUUGUCAAUAAAUGUUGGGUUUGGUAAUAAA
This 1826-nucleotide small RNA is filed under the name Pongo abelii (Sumatran orangutan). RNAcentral describes it as "retained intron". The record is from RNAcentral. Lineage: Eukaryota; Metazoa; Chordata; Mammalia; Primates; Hominidae.